GAUGAAGAACGCAGCGAAAUGCGAUACGUAGUGUGAAUUGCAGAAUUCAGUGAAUCAUCGAAUCUUUGAACGCACAUUGCACCUCUCGGUAUUCCGGGAGGUAUGCCUGUUCGAGCGUCAUUUGUACCCUCAAGCUCUGCUUGGUGUUGGGUGUUUGUUCCGCCUCUGUGUGUGAACUCGCCUCAAAACAAUUGGCAGCCGGCGUACUUGUUUCGGAGCGCAGCACAUUUUGCGAUCCAGAUCAACGUACAGCGGCAUCCAAGAAGCCUUAUUUAACGCUCUUGACCUCGGCUCAGGUAGGGAUACCCGCUGAACUUAAGCAUAUCAAUAAGCGGAGGA
This 339-nucleotide unclassified non-coding RNA is filed under the name soil metagenome. RNAcentral describes it as "partial contains 5.8S ribosomal RNA, internal transcribed spacer 2, and large subunit ribosomal RNA". The stretch from base 1 to 120 matches the Rfam family "5.8S ribosomal RNA", at positions 35 to 154 of the family's 154-position model. The record is from RNAcentral.